Long non-coding RNA from Alnus glutinosa, 978 nucleotides. RefSeq lists it as uncharacterized. The transcript is spliced from 5 exons. The record is from RefSeq and is a predicted model, not a curated record. NCBI's taxonomy places the organism in Eukaryota, Viridiplantae, Streptophyta, Magnoliopsida, Fagales, Betulaceae.
CCAAAUGGCCUUUCCAAAGCAGAGGCCGUGCGCCUCUGCUGUCUCAAAAAGAAAAGAAGAAAAAAAUGGAAAGGGGUCAUCUGACCGAGAGAAAAAGAAAUAGGAAGGAGAUGAUUUUUCAUACAAAAAUUAUGAUAUAUGAAGAUUCAACCGUCCAAACUCAAAUUCGACUUCGGUAACGUGAUCUACGAAGCCCGAUCUACGUUUCUACCGAUCGUUUUGAGGCUUUGUGUUAUUUGGAGCUUGCAAAGAUUCCCAAACAUCGGGUAUUAUUUGGGUAAAUUUUUAGUAAUGCAUUGCAUGGUGGUGUCUAGGAGACCUAGUGCUUAAUAUCCGCGCAGCCAGACAUUGAUGCUUUGGUUGCAGGUUUUGCGGAUAUAGAUAUUGACUCGUCCACCUAGCGUAUGGGAUACUAUGAUUGGAGCACAUCGCGACAGUCAUAAGUCACGGACUCAUGGGUAGUCCGCAUUUUGGGUAUUUUAUCUAUGGCUCGUGUCCUACGUGGCACAUGUAUUUGUUGAGCGUAUAUUUUAGAAUGUAAUUAGUGUAAUAUGUUAUAUAAGCCUUAAAUAGAUAGACUUGUAAAUGGCUCUGGUUGUAAUUAACUGUUGUAUAAUAGAUGUAUUUCCGCUUAUGAUAUGUGUUCUGCUACACAUUGAUUACUAUAUUCCGCUGUUAAAUGUAACUCUGAUUAUCAGAUGCAUGUUAUGGGACAUGUGCCAUAUGUUGGCUGAGCGACAUGUAGUCGUGCCACUGUGAAGAUCCGUUUAUAGAAACUGAUGAGGAUAUAUUAUGGAAGGCCGAUAUAAGGGAGACGAAGGAAGAGAUUUGGUUAUUUGGAUUUGUUUGGUUUUGGAUUAUGUGGUUAUUUACUUAUUUGGAUUUGUAAUUUUUUGGUUUUGGAUUUGGUUAUGUGGUUAUUUGUUUGUGUUUUGGAUUUGUAUUUUUUUUUUAAUAAAUACUUUGGAUUUGUAUUUA